Molecule: ribosomal RNA, 497 nt
Filed under: uncultured bacterium
Lineage: Bacteria
Description: partial 16S ribosomal RNA
Rfam family: Bacterial small subunit ribosomal RNA
Source: RNAcentral
GAUGAACGCUGGCGGCGUGCCUAAUACAUGCAAGUCGAGCGAACAGACGAGGAGCUUGCUCCUCUGACGUUAGCGGCGGACGGGUGAGUAGCACGUGGAUAACCUACCUAUAAGACUGGGAUAACUUCGGGAAACCGGAGCUAAUACCGGAUAACAUGUUGAACCGCAUGGUUCAACAGUGAAAGACGGUCUUGCUGUCACUUAUAGAUGGAUCCGCGCCGCAUUAGCUAGUUGGUAAGGUAACGGCUUACCAAGGCAACGAUGCGUAGCCGACCUGAGAGGGUGAUCGGCCACACUGGAACUGAGACACGGUCCAGACUCCUACGGGAGGCAGCAGUAGGGAAUCUUCCGCAAUGGGCGAAAUCCUGACGGAGCAACGCCGCGUGAGUGAAGAAGGUCUUCGGAUCGUAAAACUCUGUUAUUAGGGAAGAACAAAUGUGUAAGUAACUAUGCACGUCUUGACGGUACCUAAUCAGAAAGCCACGGCUAACUACGUG